GGCUGAAUGUGGUACACAGGCACGU
Molecule: unclassified non-coding RNA, 25 nt
Filed under: Mus musculus (house mouse)
Lineage: Eukaryota; Metazoa; Chordata; Mammalia; Rodentia; Muridae
Description: oocyte_clustered_small_RNA13395
Source: RNAcentral